This 73-nucleotide transfer RNA is filed under the name Vicugna pacos (alpaca). RNAcentral's name for it is "tRNA-Ala (AGC) (tRNA-Ala-AGC-745-1)". It matches the Rfam family "tRNA". From Rfam's summary of the family: Transfer RNA (tRNA) molecules are approximately 80 nucleotides in length. Lineage: Eukaryota; Metazoa; Chordata; Mammalia; Artiodactyla; Camelidae. The record is from RNAcentral.
GGAGGGUGUAGCUCAGUGGUAGAGUGCGUGCUUAGCAUGCACGAGGCCCUGGGUUCCAUCCCCAGUACCUCCA